ACCCGCUGAACUUAAGCAUAUCACUAAGCGGAGGAAAAGAAACUAACUAGGAUGGCCUCAGUAAUGGCGAAUGAAGCGGCCAGAGCCCAAGAUGGUAAUCUCCGCCUUUCAGGCGGCGAAUUGUAAUCUUGAGAUGCUAAACUCAAUUGGUGGUGUCGUAGAAGUGCCCUGGAACGGGCCGCCAAAGAGGGUGACAGCCCCGUACGUGACGACGCCGCCUAACGAGUUGGUAUUCAAAGAGUCGGGUUGUUUUGUAUUGCAGCCCUAAGCGGGAGAUAAACUUCUUCUAAGGCUAAAUAUAUGUGGGAAACCGAUAGCGAACAAGUACUGUGAAGGAAAGAUGAAAAGCACUUUGGAAAGAGAGUCAAAAGACCUGAAACCGUUGAGGAGGAAGCGGUAGAGAUGUAUUCUACGGCGAUGCGCGGGGAAGACGAUCUAAGCACGGCGGAGGUAUGUCACGUCAAAGGGCUGCUUUUGUCUCAAGCGGAAAUCGUUCAUUUGCGCGGCGUCGUGAGGCAGGAUGGAGUGACGGGAUCACAAAGGCCUAGUUGAUCUGGGAGCCCUCGGGUUUCAAUCCUCUGGUGCCGGUGGCCUCGUGGCUUGAGGGUGCUUUGUGCGAUCCUGUCAAAAUGGUCUUUACCGACUCGUCUUGAAACACGAACCAAGGAGUCUAACGUACACGCGAGUAUGCCAGCGGAAAAACUGACAUGCGCAAUGAAGGUGAGUGAUGCCAAGCGCAAGCAGCAGCAUCGACCGACCAUGAUUCUUAAUGAAAGGUUUGAGUAUGAGCGUGUCCGCUAGGACCCGAAAGAUGGUGAACUAUGCCUGCGUAGGGUGAAGCCAGGGGAAACUCUGGUGGAAGCUCGUAGCGAUACUGACGUGCAAAUCGUUCGUCGAACGUGGGUAUAGGGGCGAAAGACUAAUCGAACCAUCUAGUAGCUGGUUCCCUCCGAAGUUUCCCUCAGGAAAGG
This 971-nucleotide ribosomal RNA is filed under the name uncultured eukaryote. RNAcentral's name for it is "eukaryotic LSU rRNA". It matches the Rfam family "Eukaryotic large subunit ribosomal RNA", at positions 23 to 982 of the family's 3401-position model. The record is from RNAcentral.